UGGACAGUGGCGGACGGGCGAGUAACGCGUGAGUAACCUGCCCAUAAGUGAGGGGAUUAGGCCCCUUUGGGAAAACCGAGGAGUAAUACCUCAUGUUGAUUUUUAUCGCAUGGUAGAAAUAUGAAAGAUUUAUCGCAAAAGGAUGGACCCGCGUCUGAUUAGCUAGUUGGUGAGGUAACGGCUCACCAAGGCGACGAUCAGUAGCCGGCCUGAGAGGGUGAACGGCCACAUUGGGACUGAGACACGGCCCAAACUCCUACGGGAGGCAGCAGUGGGGAAUAUUGCACAAUGGGGGAAACCCUGAUGCAGCGACGCCGCGUGAGUGAAGAAGUAUUUCGGUAUGUAAAGCUCUAUCAGCAGGGAAGAAAAUGACGGUACCUGACUAAGAAGCCCCGGCUAACUACGUG
Molecule: ribosomal RNA, 407 nt
Filed under: uncultured bacterium
Lineage: Bacteria
Description: bacterial SSU rRNA
Rfam family: Bacterial small subunit ribosomal RNA
Source: RNAcentral